This 441-nucleotide ribosomal RNA is filed under the name uncultured bacterium. Its description in RNAcentral is "partial 16S ribosomal RNA". The record is from RNAcentral.
GACUACAAGGGUAUCUAAUCCUGUUUGCUCCCCACGCCUUCGAGCCUCAACGUCAGUUACAGUCCAGUAAGCCGCCUUCGCCGCCGGUGUUCCUCCUGAUAUCUACGCAUUUCACCGCUACACCAGGAAUUCCGCUUACCUCUCCUGCACUCCAGCUUCACAGUUUCCAGAGCAGUUCCGGGGUUGGGCCCCGGCAUUUCACUCCAGACUUGCGCUGCCGUCUACGCUCCCUUUACACCCAGUAAAUCCGGAUAACGCUUGCCCCCUACGUAUUACCGCGGCUGCUGGCACGUAGUUAGCCGGGGCUUCUUAGUCAGGUACCGUCAUUUUCUUUCCUGCUGAUAGAGCUUUACGUACCGAAAUACUUCUUCACUCACGCGGCGUCGCUGGAUCAGGGUUUCCCCCAUUGUCCAAUAUUCCCCACUGCUGCCUCCCGUAGUC